GAGAAAGGGGGCUUCGGCUCCCGCUAUCGGAUGAGGCCUAUGUCGGAUUAGCUGGUUGGUGAGGUAAAGGCUCACCAAGGGCGACGAUCCGUAGCUGGUCUGAGAGGAUGAUCAGCCACAUCGGGACUGAGACACGGCCCGAACUCCUACGGGAGGCAGCAGUGGGGAAUAUUGGACAAUGGGGGGAACCCUGAUCCAGCCAUGCCGCGUGUGUGAAGAAGGCCCUCGGGUUGUAAAGCACUCUCAGUGAGGAAGAACGCCUGGUGGUUAAUACCCAUCAGGAAAGACAUCACUCACAGAAGAAGCACCGGCUAACUCCGUGCCAGCAGCCGCGGUAAUACGGAGGGUGCGAGCGUUAAUCGGAAUUACUGGGCGUAAAGCGCGCGUAGGUGGCUUGAUAAGCCGGUUGUGAAAGCCCCGGGCUCAACCUGGGAACGGCAUCCGGAACUGUCAAGCUAGAGUGCAGGAGAGGAAGGUAGAAUUCCCGGUGUAGCGGUGAAAUGCGUAGAGAUCGGGAGGAAUACCAGUGGCGAAGGCGGCCUUCUGGACUGACACUGACACUGAGGUGCGAAAGCGUGGGUAGCAAACAGGAUUAGAUACCCUGGUAGUCCACGCCGUAAACGAUGUCGACCAGCCGUUGGGUGCCUAGCGCACUUUGUGGCGAAGUUAACGCGAUAAGUCGACCGCCUGGGGAGUACGGCCGCAAGGUUAAAACUCAAAUGAAUUGACGGGGGCCCGCACAAGCGGUGGAGCAUGUGGUUUAAUUCGAUGCAACGCGAAGAACCUUACCUACUCUUGACAUCCUGCGAAUUCGGUAGAGAUACCUUAGUGCCUUCGGGAACGCAGAGACAGGUGCUGCAUGGCUGUCGUCAGCUCGUGUUGUGAAAUGUUGGGUUAAGUCCCGUAACGAGCGCAACCCUUGUCCUUAUUUGCCAGCGCGUAAUGGCGGGAACUCUAAGGAGACUGCCGGUGACAAACCGGAGGAAGGUGGGGACGACGUCAAGUCAUCAUGGCCCUUACGAGUAGGGCUACACACGUGCUACAAUGGUCGGUACAAAGGGUUGCCAACUCGCGAGAGUGAGCCAAUCCCGAAAAGCCGAUCUCAGUCCGGAUCGGAGUCUGCAACUCGACUCCGUGAAGUCGGAAUCGCUAGUAAUCGUGGAUCAGAAUGCCACGGUGA
Molecule: ribosomal RNA, 1180 nt
Filed under: uncultured Halomonas sp.
Lineage: Bacteria; Pseudomonadati; Pseudomonadota; Gammaproteobacteria; Oceanospirillales; Halomonadaceae
Description: bacterial SSU rRNA
Rfam family: Bacterial small subunit ribosomal RNA
Source: RNAcentral